CUUUAUUUAAAGAACAUUACUAAUAAAAACUUUAUCUUUGUGCCACCUGGUGGGUCAAUAUAUAACUGAAGGACUUUAGGAUAUAUCUGCCUACAUUUUUAUUAAAAGCAAAAAUGUUAUGUUCAUUAUGAUCAUGUCUUUACAAAUUACAUAAUUAUUUAUUAUGGAAACAAUCACUUAUUAAUAAAAAUGACUGGAUAUCACUAAAAUGUCAUUUCCUGUCUUGUUUUUGUCAUUUUGUGUCUCGGUUUUGUGUCUCAUUUUUGUCACUUUGAGUCUUUUGUCAUUUUUUCUCGUUUUUGUCAUUUUGUUUCGGUUUUGUCGUUCUGUCUCGUUUAUGUCAUUUUGUGUCUCAGUUUUGUCGUUUUGUGUCUCGGUUUUGUCAUUGUGUAUCAGUUCUGUCAUUUUGUGUCUAGUUUUUGUCGUUUCCAAAUUUCCAAUCCUUGGAUUUGUUCACUUUAUGCUGAAUUUAUUAAAAUAAAUACAACAACUUAUCACAAGAGUAAAACAUGUCAAUAUAUCCAUAAAGUAAACAACAUUUAUUAAUUAAUCUAAUUUGAAUUGGGGUUGUUUGAAUCAGUUCCACAUUUGGCCACAGGGUGGUGCCGUUUUCAUCUGAGCUCAAUCAUUAAACUAUAACAGAAAAAACACAAAAAAGUAGCAUUUAGGCAGUUUUUAGACACAUUUCUGCACUUCAUAUGAAAACUGACAGGAUGUAUUGUGCUAAAAAUGUUCACACAAACAAUCCACAGACUAAAAAUCUGUGUUUUCAUUUACAUUUAUGUCUAAACAACAACAACAGUACACACAGUGGUCCCUUAGAAACAACACAAACAACACCACUUCUAUUUUACAUCUAUUUUCCGUGAUCUUAAAAGUGCAAGUGCUGAGCUAUACUUUUCUUCUUUCUAACUACAAAGCAAAUAAUGAUGAUUUCAAAAAGUCAAGACAACCUUAAUCACAGAGGUUAUAACGGUACAAAAAUAAUUUAUUCAUCGUCUCGUGGCCCCUGACAGCACAUGAUUGUUUGUUUUAAAGCUCACGGCUGCAGACGUGUUCUGUGUAAACUGAUCUGUCUGAAUGAAAACACAAAGCUCCUGUUCUGUGUUCUCCACACUCUGUAGGACUCCUAAUGCUGCUUCUGUGACGGCCUGCAGGAGGCGCUGUGGAGCUGGAAGACCUGGUCCGGUUCACUCCACUUCAUCCUCGUCUCCCUCAAAGGCUGCCUCCUGAAAGAGAUGCUGUUAGCGUCGUUUAAAAGGUUUUACAGGUCAGAUUUUGUGAUGAGGAGGAGCGUAUAUACGUACGUAUCCGCCCUGCUGCUGAGCCCAGGUGGAGUAGUAGUCCUGCAGGUAUCGGGCUCCGUGGCGCAUCAGGAGGUUCC
Amphiprion ocellaris (clown anemonefish) is the source of this 1384-nucleotide long non-coding RNA. The record is from Ensembl. NCBI's taxonomy places the organism in Eukaryota, Metazoa, Chordata, Actinopteri, Pomacentridae.